Molecule: unclassified non-coding RNA, 378 nt
Filed under: uncultured bacterium
Lineage: Bacteria
Description: contains 16S-23S intergenic spacer region
Source: RNAcentral
UCCGAUUUGUCAUCGGCAGUCACCUUAGGGUGCCCAACUGAAUGAUGGCAACUAAAGGCAAGGGUUGCGCUCGUUGCGGGACUUAACCCAACAUCUCACGACACGAGCUGACGACAGCCAUGCAGCACCUGAACCGGAGGUCCCCGAAGGGAAGACCCUAUUUCUAGGGCUGUCCUCCGUUGUCUAGCCCGGGUAAGGUUCUUCGCGUUGCGUCGAAUUAAGCCACAUGCUCCACCGCUUGUGCGGGCCCCCGUCAAUUCCUUUGAGUUUCAACCUUGCGGUCGUACUCCCCAGGCGGGGUACUUCCUGCGUUAGCGCCGGCACCCAGAGGGUCGCUCCCCCAGGCACCUAGUACCCAUCGUUUACGGCGUGGACUAC